GUCGGCGACCUCACCACGUUGAAAGCACCGGUUCUAGUCCGAUCACCGAAGUUAAGCAACGUUGGGCCCGAUUAGUACUAUUGCGUCGGUGGCACAGUGGUUAAGACGCUCGCCAACC
This 118-nucleotide ribosomal RNA is filed under the name Trichobilharzia regenti. The record is from RNAcentral. Lineage: Eukaryota; Metazoa; Platyhelminthes; Trematoda; Strigeidida; Schistosomatidae.